GACCCUACGGGAGGCAGCAGUGAGGAAUAUUGGUCAAUGGGCGAGAGCCUGAACCAGCCAAGUCGCGUGAAGGAUGACGGCCCUAUGGGUUGUAAACUUCUUUUGUCAGGGAGCAAUUGAGUCCACGUGUGGGCUUAGCGAGAGUACCUGAAGAAAAAGCAUCGGCUAACUCCGUGCCAGCAGCCGCGGUAAUACGGAGGAUGCGAGCGUUAUCCGGAUUUAUUGGGUUUAAAGGGUGCGCAGGCGGAAGAUCAAGUCAGCGGUAAAAUUGAGAGGCUCAACCUCUUCGAGCCGUUGAAACUGGU
This 305-nucleotide ribosomal RNA is filed under the name uncultured bacterium. Its description in RNAcentral is "bacterial SSU rRNA". It matches the Rfam family "Bacterial small subunit ribosomal RNA", at positions 334 to 637 of the family's 1533-position model. The record is from RNAcentral.